This 73-nucleotide transfer RNA is filed under the name Ursus americanus (American black bear). It matches the Rfam family "tRNA". Rfam says of the family: Transfer RNA (tRNA) molecules are approximately 80 nucleotides in length. Their secondary structure includes four short double-helical elements and three loops (D, anti-codon, and T loops). RNAcentral also lists the same sequence under 1 other name. Lineage: Eukaryota; Metazoa; Chordata; Mammalia; Carnivora; Ursidae. The record is from Rfam by way of RNAcentral.
GCCUGGUUGGCUCAGUCAGUAGAGCACGCGAUUCUUGAUCUCAGGGUCAUGAGUUCAAGCCCCAUGUUGGGCA